RNAcentral lists this ribosomal RNA (288 nucleotides) under uncultured bacterium. Its description in RNAcentral is "partial 16S ribosomal RNA". It matches the Rfam family "Bacterial small subunit ribosomal RNA", at positions 335 to 615 of the family's 1533-position model. The record is from RNAcentral.
GUCCCUACGGGACGCAGCAGUGGGGAAUUUUGGACAAUGGGCGCAAGCCUGAUCCAGCUAUUCCGCGUGUGGGAAGACGGCCCUCGGGUUGUAAACCACUUUUGUAGAGAACGAAAAGUCUAUUGAUAAUACCGAUAGACGAUGACGGUACUCUAAGAAUAAGCACCGGCUAACUACGUGCCAGCAGCCGCGGUAAUACGUAGGGUGCGAGCGUUAAUCGGAAUUACUGGGCGUAAAGGGUGUGCAGGCGGUUUUGCAAGAUGGGUGUGAAAGCCCCGGGGUUAACCU